RNAcentral lists this transfer RNA (92 nucleotides) under Zoogloea ramigera. Its description in RNAcentral is "tRNA-Leu". The record is from RNAcentral. Lineage: Bacteria; Pseudomonadati; Pseudomonadota; Betaproteobacteria; Rhodocyclales; Zoogloeaceae.
GCGCGGCCAGCCCGAGGAAGGCCGCCAGGAUCAGCGCCUGGGCCAGCCUUGCGGUGUUGCGGGGCGUCAUCGCUCAGCGCAGCGGCUGGGCG